This 519-nucleotide ribosomal RNA is filed under the name Triticum aestivum (bread wheat). Its description in RNAcentral is "partial small subunit ribosomal RNA". The record is from RNAcentral. Lineage: Eukaryota; Viridiplantae; Streptophyta; Magnoliopsida; Poales; Poaceae.
AUGGUGCUCGGCGGCUGCGGCAACGGAGGUGAUGGUGCGCGAGCCAACCAGUUCAAUGGAGGCAGGAGCACGGGGCAGCGGCAGCAGCAUGGAGGGCGUCCUCUUGGUUGGGAAGGUAAUGGAAAUGCAAAUAGGAGUGGUAGUGGCAACCAUGAUGCAAAUGCAAAUGAUUCCCAAAAAUCUUGGAAAGGAAUUAAAGAUAAUAACUUGUAUGAUCCUUGGAACCAUGCAUGGCCGUAUUACGGGGGUUUUGAUUGUGUGUACUGCAGCCUAAAGCACAAAGGUGGAGGUGCAACCCGUGUUGCGGAGCACCUUGGUGGUAUUGUAGGUAAUGUGAGGAGCUGCCCCAAUGUGCCAAGAAAUGUGAGAGAUGCAAUGAGAGAGUGCCGGGAUGAAUCAAAGAGGAAGAAAAGAGACAAACAAAAUAGUAGGCUGAGAACUGAAAGAAAUAUUAUGGAAGGGUUGUAUCAAAAAGGAGGGGUGAUUAACAUACUAGAUGAUGAUGAAGAAGAAAUAUAG